RNAcentral lists this ribosomal RNA (466 nucleotides) under Peptostreptococcaceae bacterium canine oral taxon 071. RNAcentral describes it as "bacterial SSU rRNA". It matches the Rfam family "Bacterial small subunit ribosomal RNA", at positions 9 to 456 of the family's 1533-position model. The record is from RNAcentral. Lineage: Bacteria; Bacillati; Bacillota; Clostridia; Peptostreptococcales; Peptostreptococcaceae.
GAGUUUGAUUCUGGCUCAGGAUGAACGCUGGCGGCGUGCUUAACACAUGCAAGUCGAACGAAGCGGGAAGGAAGAAGUUUUUCGAAAUGGAUUUUUUCUUUGCUUAGUGGCGGACGGGUGCGUAACACGUAGGUAACCUGCCCUGUGCUUCGGAAUAACUCCGGGAAACCGGUGCUAAUGCCGAAUAAUAUCGCCUGUCGGCAUCGAGAGGCGAUCAAAGAAUUUUGGCACAGGAUGGGCCUGCGCCGGAUUAGCUGGUUGGUGAGGUAACGGCUCACCAAGGCGACGAUCCGUAGCCGACCUGAGAGGGUGAUCGGCCACACUGGAACUGAGACACGGUCCAGACUCCUACGGGAGGCAGCAGUGGGGAAUAUUGCACAAUGGGGGAAACCCUGAUGCAGCAACGCCGCGUGAGCGAUGAAGGCUUUCGAGUCGUAAAGCUCUGUCCUAUGGGAAGAUGAUGACG